GACGGAGGGCGCAAGCGUUGUUCGGAAUUACUGGGCGUAAAGCGCGGGCAGGUGGUCUGUUAAGUCGUUUGUGAAAAUCCGGGGCUCAACCCCGUGAAAUGCGUACGAUACUGGCAGGCUGGAGAUCGGUAGAGGCUAGCGGAAUUCCUGGUGUAGCGGUGGAAUGCGUAGAGAUCAGGAAGAACACCCGUGGCGAAGGCGGCUAGCUGGGCCGAGUCUGACACUCAUCCGCGAAAGCGUGGGGAGCAAACAGG
RNAcentral lists this ribosomal RNA (254 nucleotides) under uncultured bacterium. Its description in RNAcentral is "partial 16S ribosomal RNA". It matches the Rfam family "Bacterial small subunit ribosomal RNA", at positions 524 to 776 of the family's 1533-position model. The record is from RNAcentral.